Molecule: ribosomal RNA, 442 nt
Filed under: uncultured bacterium
Lineage: Bacteria
Description: partial 16S ribosomal RNA
Rfam family: Bacterial small subunit ribosomal RNA
Source: RNAcentral
CCUACGGGAGGCAGCAGUGGGGAAUAUUGGGCAAUGGGCGCAAGCCUGACCCAGCAACGCCGCGUGAAGGAAGAAGGCUUUCGGGUUGUAAACUUCUUUUAAGGGGGAAGAGGAGAAGACGGUACCCCUUGAAUAAGCCACGGCUAACUACGUGCCAGCAGCCGCGGUAAUACGUAGGUGGCAAGCGUUGUCCGGAUUUACUGGGUGUAAAGGGCGUGCAGCCGGGAGGACAAGUCAGAUGUGAAAUCCCGCGGCUCAACCGCGGAACUGCAUUUGAAACUGUUGAUCUUGAGUACUGGAGAGGCAGAUGGAAUUCCGAGUGUAGCGGUGAAAUGCGUAGAUAUUAGGAGGAACACCAGUGGCGAAGGCGGUCUGCUGGACAGCAACUGACGGUGAGGCGCGAAAGCGUGGGGAGCAAACAGGAUUAGAUACCCGAGUAGUC